RNAcentral lists this ribosomal RNA (505 nucleotides) under uncultured Glomeraceae. RNAcentral's name for it is "SSU rRNA". It matches the Rfam family "Eukaryotic small subunit ribosomal RNA", at positions 569 to 1078 of the family's 1831-position model. The record is from RNAcentral. Lineage: Eukaryota; Fungi; Glomeromycota; Glomeromycetes; Glomerales; Glomeraceae.
CGCAGCCGCGGUAAUUCCAGCUCCAAUAGCGUAUAUUAAAGUUGCUGCAGUUAAAAAGCUCGUAGUUGAAUUUCGGGACUAAUAUGUUGGUCGUGCCUCGGUACGUACUGAUAUUUUUGGUUUCUCCCUUCUGACGAACCUUGAUGUCAUUAAUUUGGUGUCUUGGGAAAUCAGGACUGUUACUUUGAAAAAUUAGAGUGUUUAAAGCAGGCUCACGCUUGAAUACAUUAGCAUGGAAUAAUGAAAUAGGACGUUUGAUUCUAUUUUGUUGGUUUCUAGGAUCGACGUAAUGACUAAUAGGGAUAGUUGGGGGCAUUAGUAUUCAAUUGUCAGAGGUGAAAUUCUUGGAUUUAUUGAAGACUAACUACUGCGAAAGCAUUUGCCAAGGAUGUUUCCAUUAAUCAAGAACGAAAGUUAGGGGAUCGAAGACGAUCAGAUAACCGUCGUAGUCUUAACCAUAAACUAUGCCGACUAGGGAUCGGAUGAUGUUAAUUUUUAUGACUCA